GACGAACGCUGGCGGCGUGCUUAACACAUGCAAGUCGAACGGAAAGGCCCUGCUUUUGUGGGGUGCUCGAGUGGCGAACGGGUGAGUAACACGUGAGUAACCUGCCCUUGACUUUGGGAUAACUUCAGGAAUCUGGGGCUAAUACCGGAUAGGAGCUCCUGCUGCAUGGUGGGGGUUGGAAAGUUUCGGCGGUUGGGGAUGGACUCGCGGCUUAUCAGCUUGUUGGUGGGGUAGUGGCUUACCAAGGCUUUGACGGGUAGCCGGCCUGAGAGGGUGACCGGCCACAUUGGGACUGAGAUACGGCCCAGACUCCUACGGGAGGCAGCAGUGGGGAAUAUUGCACAAUGGGCGGAAGCCUGAUGCAGCAACGCCGCGUGCGGGAUGACGGCCUUCGGGUUGUAAACCGCUUUCGCCUGUGACGAAGCGUGAGUGACGGUAAUGGGUAAAGAAGCACCGGCUAACUACGUGCCAGCAGCCGCGGUGAUACGUAGGGUGCGAGCGUUGUCCGGAUUUAUUGGGCGUAAAGGGCUCGUAGGUGGUUGAUCGCGUCGGAAGUGUAAUCUUGGGGCUUAACCCUGAGCGUGCUUUCGAUACGGGUUGACUUGAGGAAGGUAGGGGAGAAUGGAAUUCCUGGUGGAGCGGUGGAAUGCGCAGAUAUCAGGAGGAACACCAGUGGCGAAGGCGGUUCUCUGGGCCUUUCCUGACGCUGAGGAGCGAAAGCGUGGGGAGCGAACAGGCUUAGAUACCCUGGUAGUCCACGCUGUAAACGGUGGGUACUAGGUGUGGGGUCCAUUCCACGGGUUCCGUGCCGUAGCUAACGCUUUAAGUACCCCGCCUGGGGAGUACGGCCGCAAGGCUAAAACUCAAAGGAAUUGACGGGGCCCCGCACAAGCGGCGGAGCAUGCGGAUUAAUUCGAUGCAACGCGUAGAACCUUACCUGGGUUUGACAUGGAUCGGGAGUGCUCAGAGAUGGGUGUGCCUCUUUUGGGGUCGGUUCACAGGUGGUGCAUGGCUGUCGUCAGCUCGUGUCGUGAGAUGUUGGGUUAAGUCCCGCAACGAGCGCAACCCUUGUUCACUGUUGCCAGCACGUUAUGGUGGGGACUCAGUGGAGACCGCCGGGGUCAACUCGGAGGAAGGUGGGGAUGACGUCAAGUCAUCAUGCCCCUUAUGUCCAGGGCUUCACGCAUGCUACAAUGGCUGGUACAGAGAGUGGCGAGCCUGUGAGGGUGAGCGAAUCUCGGAAAGCCGGUCUCAGUCCGGAUUGGGGUCUGCAACUCGACCUCAUGAAGUCGGAGUCGCUAGUAAUCGCAGAUCAGCAACGCUGCGGUGAAUACGUUCCCGGG
Molecule: ribosomal RNA, 1343 nt
Filed under: uncultured bacterium
Lineage: Bacteria
Description: 16S ribosomal RNA
Rfam family: Bacterial small subunit ribosomal RNA
Source: RNAcentral